This is a non-coding RNA of Vicia faba (fava bean), 267 nucleotides long. NCBI's taxonomy places the organism in Eukaryota, Viridiplantae, Streptophyta, Magnoliopsida, Fabales, Fabaceae. The record is from the annotation of a GenBank genome assembly.
AUGGGAAUGGAGAGCACUGGAGAAGUAAUAUUAAAAGUCCAAGGAAGCCACAUUGUUAGAUCAACAGGUAGAAAAGAUAGACACAGUAAGGUAUAUAUAGACUACAAGGAAUCCCAAGUAAAACAUAAUUCCAGAUUAUCUCAUUUAACUUCUCAAUCAGCAAACCCAAGAUUUAGUAAUUUAACUUACUCAGCCAAUUACAUUUCUUCUGGUCAAGCAGCACGUUUAACAACGGAUUUACAAGAAACUAGACACCGACGUAAGUAA